RNAcentral lists this unclassified non-coding RNA (241 nucleotides) under Cenococcum sp. RNAcentral's name for it is "partial contains 5.8S ribosomal RNA, internal transcribed spacer 2, and large subunit ribosomal RNA". The stretch from base 1 to 52 matches the Rfam family "5.8S ribosomal RNA", at positions 103 to 154 of the family's 154-position model. Lineage: Eukaryota; Fungi; Ascomycota; Dothideomycetes; Gloniales; Gloniaceae. RNAcentral also lists the same sequence under 1 other name. The record is from RNAcentral.
AACGCACAUUGCGCCCCUUGGUAUCCCGAGGGGCAUGCCUGUUCGAGCGUCAUUUCACCACUCAAGCCUGGCUUGGUGUUGGGCGACGUCCCCUUUGGGGACGCGCCUCGAAACGCUCGGCGGCGUGGCACCGGCUUUAAGCGUAGCAGAAUCUUUCGCUUCAAAAGUCGGGGCCCCGUCUGCCGGAAGACCUACUCGCAAGGUUGACCUCGGAUCAGGCAGGGAUACCCGCUGAACUUAA